Long non-coding RNA from Dalotia coriaria, 568 nucleotides. RefSeq lists it as uncharacterized. Lineage: Eukaryota; Metazoa; Arthropoda; Insecta; Coleoptera; Staphylinidae. The transcript has 2 exons. The record is from RefSeq and is a predicted model, not a curated record.
GUCUCUUGAAACAGUAGAAAACGCGCUGAAUGACAGCGCUAUUAAUUUGUCAUUACGUCGAUGCAGCCAGCGCGUUAUCUAAUGCUUUAAAUCUCAAUUUCUUGCUCAGCUGAGUGAGCUGUGAGAAAUCGACUCACGCGGAUCGGAAGUUGAUGCGGCUGUUGCAAUCGCUGAUGUCGUGAUCGGCGGCCUUGUGCAAAGUAUCGCAUGGCUCGUUGACGAACUUAAAAGUCGGCGUGAUUCGAAAUAGAUUAUCGCCACAAUUUAUACUGACAACUAAAUUGAACCGAAGAUUGAUUACGCUAUAACUUGUUGUAUUAAUAAAAUAAACAAGCGAGUGAUUGCACGUGUAUCAAACUGGAACUGAUUCAAACUCUAGUUGUGGACAGUUAGCGCCAUCUAGGCCCGAAAAUGGGAACUGUUUGACAGUUUCACUGUGGGAGUACGUCGUUUGGACGCGAGCCAAUUCGCCGUUGGAAACAUUUCAGAUUUUAGAAUGUUUUAACGCUAAAAUAAACAAAUUUUGUAUAAUAUUAAACUAUUUUAUAUGAAUUUAAUAUUAAACUGA